GGCUACAGAACGAACGCUGGCGGCAUGCCUAACACAUGCAAGUCGAACGAGACCUUCGGGUCUAGUGGCGCACGGGUGCGUAACACGUGGGAAUUUGCCUCGGGGUAUGGAAUAACUCAGGGAAACUUGAGCUAAUACCAUAUAAUGUCUUCGGACCAAAGAUUUAUCGCCCUGAGAUAAGCCCGCGUAGGAUUAGCUAGUUGGUGAGGUAAAGGCUCACCAAGGCGACGAUCCUUAGCUGGUCUGAGAGGAUGAUCAGCCACACUGGGACUGAGACACGGCCCAGACUCCUACGGGAGGCAGCAGUGGGGAAUAUUGGACAAUGGGCGAAAGCCUGAUCCAGCAAUGCCGCGUGAGUGAUGAAGGCCUUCGGGUUGUAAAGCUCUUUUACUCGGGACGAUAAUGACGGUACCGAGAGAAUAAGCCCCGGCUAACUCCGUG
This 441-nucleotide ribosomal RNA is filed under the name uncultured bacterium. RNAcentral describes it as "bacterial SSU rRNA". It matches the Rfam family "Bacterial small subunit ribosomal RNA", at positions 26 to 507 of the family's 1533-position model. The record is from RNAcentral.